GUGGGGAAUCUUGCGCAAUGGGCGAAAGCCUGACCCAGCAACGCCGCGUGAAGGAAGAAGGCCUUCGGGUUGUAAACUUCUUUUAUGAGGGACGAAGGAAGUGACUGUACCUCAUGAAUAAGCCACGGCUAACUACGUGCCAGCAGCCGCGGUAAUACGUAGGUGGCAAGCGUUGUCCGGAUUUACUGGGUGUAAAGGGCGCGUAGGCGGACUGGCAAGUCAGAUGUGAAAUCCAUGAGCUCAACUCAUGAACUGCAUUUGAAACUGUUGGUCUUGAGUAUCGGAGAGGCAAGCGGAAUUCCUAGUGUAGCGGUGAAAUGCGUAGAUAUUAGGAGGAACACCAGUGGCGAAGGCGGCUUGCUGGACGACAACUGACGCUGAGGCGCGAAAGCGUGGGGAGCAAACAGGAUUAGAAACCCGGGUAGUCC
Molecule: ribosomal RNA, 428 nt
Filed under: uncultured bacterium
Lineage: Bacteria
Description: partial 16S ribosomal RNA
Rfam family: Bacterial small subunit ribosomal RNA
Source: RNAcentral